RNAcentral lists this ribosomal RNA (253 nucleotides) under uncultured bacterium. RNAcentral describes it as "partial 16S ribosomal RNA". It matches the Rfam family "Bacterial small subunit ribosomal RNA", at positions 524 to 776 of the family's 1533-position model. The record is from RNAcentral.
UACGAAGGGGGCUAGCGUUGUUCGGAAUUACUGGGCGUCAAGCGUAUGCAGGCGGCUCAUUAAGUCGGGGGUGAAAUCCCGAGGCUCAACCUCGGAACUGCCUUCGAUACUGAUGAUCUUGAGUCCGGGAGAGGUGAGUGGAACUGCGAGUGUAGAGGUGAAAUUCGUAGAUAUUCGCAAGAACACCAGUGGCGAAGGCGGCUCACUGGCCCGGUACUGACGCUGAGAUACGAAAGCGUGGGGAGCAAACAGG